Molecule: ribosomal RNA, 468 nt
Filed under: uncultured bacterium
Lineage: Bacteria
Description: partial 16S ribosomal RNA
Rfam family: Bacterial small subunit ribosomal RNA
Source: RNAcentral
GACGAACGCUGGCGGCGUGCUUAACACAUGCAAGUCGAACGGAAAGGCCCUGCUUUUGUGGGGUGCUCGAGUGGCGAACGGGUGAGUAACACGUGAGUAACCUGCCCUUGACUUUGGGAUAACUUCAGGAAACUGGGGCUAAUACCGGAUAGGAGCUCCUGCUGCAUGGUGGGGGUUGGAAAGUCUCGGCGGUUGGGGAUGGACUCGCGGCUUAUCAGCUUGUUGGUGGGGUAGUGGCUUACCAAGGCUUUGACGGGUAGCCGGCCUGAGAGGGUGACCGGCCACAUUGGGACUGAGAGACGGCCCAGACUCCUACGGGAGGCAGCAGUGGGGAAUAUUGCACAAUGGGCGGAAGCCUGAUGCAGCAACGCCGCGUGCGGGAUGACGGCCUUCGGGUUGUAAACCGCUUUCGCCUGUGACGAAGCGUGAGUGACGGUAAUGGGUAAAGAAGCACCGGCUAACUACGUG